RNAcentral lists this transfer RNA (75 nucleotides) under Azoarcus sp. RNAcentral describes it as "tRNA-Gly". It matches the Rfam family "tRNA". Rfam says of the family: Transfer RNA (tRNA) molecules are approximately 80 nucleotides in length. Their secondary structure includes four short double-helical elements and three loops (D, anti-codon, and T loops). Lineage: Bacteria; Pseudomonadati; Pseudomonadota; Betaproteobacteria; Rhodocyclales; Zoogloeaceae. The record is from RNAcentral. RNAcentral also lists the same sequence under 5 other names.
GCGGGCGUCGUAUAACGGCUAUUACCUUGGCUUCCCAAGCCAAAGACGUGGGUUCGACUCCCAUCGCCCGCUCCA